GUGAAGAAGUGCAAGGGUUAGGAGGCACAUGUACCACACUAUAGAACAGGAGAGACACCCACGACUGAGGAGAAAAGAAAGAGUGGACCUCACGGGGACACAUAAGGGGACCCACACAGUAACCUAAUGGCCUAACCACAGGGGGCCCAUCUGCUCAGUCGCAAUUGACUAUUGUAUGCCACUAAAGUAUAACGAUGCUUGCUUCUUAUGUUUGUAUUAUACCUUUAUAUGUUUGCUUUAUAUCUUUUUGAACUGGAAAUUGUAUACUAUCACCAUAACCCAUGGAAAUCUUCCACAAC
Molecule: non-coding RNA, 299 nt
Organism: Pelobates cultripes (western spadefoot toad)
Lineage: Eukaryota; Metazoa; Chordata; Amphibia; Anura; Pelobatidae
Source: the annotation of a GenBank genome assembly